GAAUCUCUCCGAGCUAAUGGUACACGUGUGUGCGGAGUGCUCAGUCACUUACACGUUAAUUUCACGAGCAGGCUGUUCCAUUGAUCGGAUCAGCUGGAACCCUCGUCGUUGUAACAGACGGAGUGCCAUGACGACAAAUGAUUAUUAUAAUUUUUUAAUG
Molecule: long non-coding RNA, 160 nt
Organism: Octopus sinensis (East Asian common octopus)
Lineage: Eukaryota; Metazoa; Mollusca; Cephalopoda; Octopoda; Octopodidae
Exons: 3
Source: RefSeq, a predicted model, not a curated record